GCCGCAGGAGGAAGCCAGAAACCAGGGGAUGGGGCUGCAGUGAUUUAUGACUGCACAGAAACAGCAGGACACUAAUGUCUUUGGCUGGCCUGCUCGUCUGCCAGCCCAGGCAGAGAGCCUGCAUCUAAAGAACAGGGAUGAUUCUGAGCCGCUCAACCCUUGGGACUGAAUCAUCUCCCAGUUCUGCAGAUUUGGCCUGGAUUUUUAAAAUGGUGAUGAUUUGUAAUGCACAUUGGACGGGUGGAGAAAGGAAAUGAGGUGGAGAGGUUAGAGAGGCAGCCUGAAAUGUACCGGGAAGUUCCCAAGAUUUUGUGUCAGGGGCCCCGAAUCACUGACACCUACAACGCACAGGAGGACCAGCGGGGUUGGCUAAUCAGGGCUCGUUGCCACAGACCUGUGAUGCCCGGGCUGGAAUGGCUCAGGCCUGGCCUGCAGGAAGGGAGAGGAAGAGGAAUGACUUGGCCAACACUCCUAUCUCUCCACAGGUUUCCUAUUUAUUUCCGGAUAAAGUCUUCACUCCCUUGCCCAUCAUUCGUCAUUCGGGGCUUCUCAUGUUCUGGCUCCUGACUCCAUCCCCGGUCCCACUACCCAUCACUUAAGGCAACAAACACAUUGGAUUCUUCACCUAAUGAUAAAUAAAUGCUUCAGGGAGAAA
Molecule: long non-coding RNA, 655 nt
Filed under: Mustela putorius furo (domestic ferret)
Lineage: Eukaryota; Metazoa; Chordata; Mammalia; Carnivora; Mustelidae
Description: lncRNA (ENSMPUG00000024953.1)
Source: RNAcentral